GUAACAUGAUGAUCUCAUGCGUGUCAACUGAGCCUUUCCAGCAUCUAUCUUUGAUUUCUAUCUCCGGUGUUUUACCGUUGAUGGAACCUUGAUAUUCUUGCUUGGAUUUGGUGCAGGAUCUAAAACUUUGAUCUGAUUAC
Molecule: small nucleolar RNA, 140 nt
Organism: Anneissia japonica
Lineage: Eukaryota; Metazoa; Echinodermata; Crinoidea; Comatulida; Comatulidae
Product: small nucleolar RNA SNORD10
Exons: 1
Source: RefSeq, a predicted model, not a curated record